RNAcentral lists this ribosomal RNA (253 nucleotides) under uncultured bacterium. RNAcentral's name for it is "partial 16S ribosomal RNA". It matches the Rfam family "Bacterial small subunit ribosomal RNA", at positions 524 to 776 of the family's 1533-position model. The record is from RNAcentral.
UACAGAGGGGGCAAGCGUUGUUCGGAAUUACUGGGCGUAAAGGGCGCGUAGGCGGCCGUCUAAGUCGAACGUGAAAUCCCCGGGCUCAACCCGGGAACUGCGUCCGAGACUGGAAGGCUCGAAUCCGGGAGAGGGAUGUGGAAUCCCAGGUGUAGCGGUGAAAUGCGUAGAUAUCUGGAGGAACAUCGGUGGCGAAGGCGGCAUCCUGGACCGGUAUUGACGCUGAGGCGCGAAAGCCAGGGGAGCAAACGGG